RNAcentral lists this ribosomal RNA (548 nucleotides) under uncultured Glomeromycotina. RNAcentral's name for it is "SSU rRNA". It matches the Rfam family "Eukaryotic small subunit ribosomal RNA", at positions 548 to 1097 of the family's 1831-position model. The record is from RNAcentral. Lineage: Eukaryota; Fungi; Glomeromycota.
UUGGAGGGCAAGUCUGGUGCCAGCAGCCGCGGUAAUUCCAGCUCCAAUAGCGUAUAUUAAAGUUGUUGCAGUUAAAAAGCUCGUAGUUGAAUUUCGGGGUCAGUAGAUUGGUCGUGCCACUGGUAUGUACUGGUCUCACUGGCUCCUCCUUCCUGAUGAACCGUAAUGCCAUUAAUUUGGUGUUGCGGGGAGACUGGACUGUUACUUUGAAAAAAUUAGAGUGUUUAAAGCAGGCUAACGCUUGAAUACAUUAGCAUGGAAUAAUGAAAUAGGACGUUCGAUCUUAUUUUGUUGGUUUCUAAGAUUGACGUAAUGAUUAAUAGGGAUAGUUGGGGGCAUUAGUAUUCAAUUGUCAGAGGUGAAAUUCUUGGAUUUAUUGAAGACUAACUACUGCGAAAGCAUUUGCCAAGGAUGUUUUCAUUAAUCAAGAACGAAAGUUAGGGGAUCGAAGACGAUCAGAUACCGUCGUAGUCUUAACCAUAAACUAUGCCGACUAGAAAUCGGAUGAUGUUAAUUUUUUAAUGACUCAUUCGGCGCCUUACGGGAAA